AACCGACACUACGUGAUCGCACGCAACAGACGUACUCUUUGGAGCUCCUAGAUUGUUGUCCAUAAAUGUGUUUUAGAUUGGCAGCAGUGUUGCCUCUACUUCACAUCUUGCAAAGUUGGCGAGAAAAGACGUACAUCUUCGAGCUCCUCAACUUUCGUUCAUAAAUGGUUGGCUGCAGUGUCGUUAGUAUGUUCAGUGUUCUGCAAUGAAAAGACAGUUUGUUUCUGAGCUCCUAUUUUUCGUCUACAAAAAGAUAAAGCGCAUGAUAACUUUUUGGAAAUUCGAGGCUUUUUGGAAAAGAAAAUUCAGACAAAAUUUAGAUGGAAAAUUGUGUCAAUUGAAACAAGGAAAUGUGGGUCAAGAACAGUAUAUAUUCCAGAGUUGCAUAGUAGGCUCAUAAUCAUCGUUUUUCCAGAAUCGGAAGGAAGAUCUGCAUAAUUUCACAGAUGUCGAAAAGAAAAGGGGGAGGCGACCGAUCUAGGAGGACUAUUCUAGGAAGAUCAAUCAAGUUUGACCAAUCGGGAUUUUGAUCCGGGUCAAGUUUAACCGAUCGGUAGGAUUUCCGGAUUUUCUUGUGUCUGGACUAUUUGGGCACAAGUUCUGGACCAUUUGGACUUCAUGGACAAUCAAUUUAGGUGGACCAUUCUAGAAGGAUAAUAUCCGGAGGGACUAUACAAGGAACAUCAAAUCAAUGAAUUGGUUUCUUUGAAGAAAGUUUCUUUUGCGGAGCUACUCCUGAGAGGGACAUCGCGGGUGCAUAAUUUAACAACUGCAGAGCGUAUAGUUCAGAAUAAAGUGACAAAUUAGAAGGACAAUCAGAUGGACAGAGGAUGUGCGUAGAAGAAAAGUGACGCCAUUAGAAAUGCAUUGGAGCCAGGGACCUUCCAGGGUUCGAUCAGGAUGAUCGCAACGAAAUAUUGAGUCUUAUUUUUUAUUUGAUUUUUAUUAUAUUUACCCUUUCCUGUUUGUUUUGUUAAUUUUUGAAAAAACAGGGAAGGAGUCGUAACAACAUAGUGACACCAUUGACAAAUACAUUAUUUUCUAGUACUUUUUUUAAAAGUAAGUAAAUUAAUAUAUUUGUCAAUGUUUUAACUGUUUAGUUAUUAUG
Molecule: long non-coding RNA, 1108 nt
Organism: Leptopilina heterotoma
Lineage: Eukaryota; Metazoa; Arthropoda; Insecta; Hymenoptera; Figitidae
Exons: 8
Source: RefSeq, a predicted model, not a curated record